This 480-nucleotide ribosomal RNA is filed under the name uncultured bacterium. Its description in RNAcentral is "bacterial SSU rRNA". It matches the Rfam family "Bacterial small subunit ribosomal RNA", at positions 29 to 497 of the family's 1533-position model. The record is from RNAcentral.
AUUGAACGCUGGCGGCAUGCUUUACACAUGCAAGUCGAACGGUAACAGGGAGCUUGCUCCGCUGACGAGUGGCGAACGGGUGAGUAAUGCAUCGGAACGUACCCAGUCGUGGGGGAUAACGUAGCGAAAGUUACGCUAAUACCGCAUACGUCCUGAGGGAGAAAGCGGGGGGACCGUAAGGCCUCGCGCGAUUGGAGCGGCCGAUGUCGGAUUAGCUAGUUGGUAGGGUAAAGGCCUACCAAGGCGACGAUCCGUAGCGGGUCUGAGAGGAUGAUCCGCCACACUGGGACUGAGACACGGCCCAGACUCCUACGGGAGGCAGCAGUGGGGAAUUUUGGACAAUGGGCGAAAGCCUGAUCCAGCCAUGCCGCGUGAGUGAAGAAGGCCUCGGUUGUAAGACGUCUUUCUAGCCGGAAAGAAAUACGCGCAGGAGUAAUACUACUGCGUGGAGUGACGGUACCGGAAGAAGAAGACACCGGC